UAAGAUAACAAAGAAAAUGCUUGCCUUCUU
RNAcentral lists this non-coding RNA (30 nucleotides) under Rattus norvegicus (Norway rat). The record is from RNAcentral. Lineage: Eukaryota; Metazoa; Chordata; Mammalia; Rodentia; Muridae.